AAAAGAUUUGCUACCGUUAAUUUCGGACAACAAUUCGCAAAGAAACAUUUGAAUAUUAUUGUUUUACAAACAGCCCUGCCUUGAGCUAGGCAAAUCUCGAAGAAAAUAUAGUUUUCCUCUUCAAAACUCUCUUGCCUGCAAGGAAGACCAAGUUGUUCUGUUUCAUUAGAUUUUUUGCGUAUUCAAGACAUCUAUAAUUCCGAGUUUGGCUGCUUUUGAAUAUAUUCAAUGUAUAUAUUGAACUACUCAUACGAGGAUGAAAGUAUAAUGUUCCAGAACUAGCUGUUGUUGCUAUCGUGUCUUGGAUUUAUAAAAAG
Armigeres subalbatus is the source of this 317-nucleotide long non-coding RNA. RefSeq lists it as uncharacterized. The transcript is spliced from 3 exons. NCBI's taxonomy places the organism in Eukaryota, Metazoa, Arthropoda, Insecta, Diptera, Culicidae. The record is from RefSeq and is a predicted model, not a curated record.